Molecule: ribosomal RNA, 316 nt
Filed under: uncultured soil bacterium
Lineage: Bacteria
Description: bacterial SSU rRNA
Rfam family: Bacterial small subunit ribosomal RNA
Source: RNAcentral
AGGACGAACGCUGGCGGCGCGCUUAACACAUGCAAGUCGAGCGAGAACCGGGGCUUCGGCCCCGGGGACAGCGGCGAACGGGUGAGUAACACGUGGAUAACCUGCCCUCGGCACCGGGAUAGCCCGGGGAAACCCGGAUUAAUACCGGAUGGCCCUUCCGAUUUUCGAGUCGGUCGGCAAAGGUAGCUUCGGCCUCCGGCCGAGGAUGGGUCCGCGGCGGAUUAGCUUGUUGGUGGGGUAAUGGCCUACCAAGGCUCCGGUCGUAGCUGGUCUGAGAGACGAUCAGCCACACUGGGACUGAGACACGGCCCAGACU